GUGACCCUCGACCGCUGAGCUCUUGUCUUUGUCAUCUUGGAUCCCAUGGGGGUUACAAUCCCUGGUGCUGUCAAUGAAGCACUAACUUGUCACUGCCCCCCCUUCCUGGCACGCCAAUCUGUUGCGACCAAUCUCCUCGUUGCCUGGUCGCCGGUAACGAGCGCCUGCAAAAGAAAGUCUGCACUGACCGGAGGUGGCUCCGGCGGGGACCCUCCGACGGUCAAGUCAGAGAGGAGACUAGGCAACAGUGAAAAGAAAACAAGGAGCUCAACGAGAG
This 277-nucleotide long non-coding RNA is filed under the name Elaeis guineensis (African oil palm). RNAcentral's name for it is "long non-coding RNA (EGUI_LNC036782)". The record is from RNAcentral. Lineage: Eukaryota; Viridiplantae; Streptophyta; Magnoliopsida; Arecales; Arecaceae.